CUUGCUCUUAUGAGUUAGUGGCGCACGGGUGAGUAAUGUAUAGCUAAUCUGCCCUACACUAGAGGACAACAGUUGGAAACGACUGCUAAUACUCUAUACUCCUCUCUAGCAUAAGUUAGAUAGGGAAAGUUUUUCGGUGUAGGAUGAGGCUAUAUUGUAUCAGCUAGUUGGUGAGGUAAUGGCUCACCAAGGCUAUGACGCAUAACUGGUCUGAGAGGAUGAUCAGUCACACUGGAACUGAGACACGGUCCAGACUCCUACGGGAGGCAGCAGUAGGGAAUAUUGCUCAAUGGGGGAAACCCUGAAGCAGCAACGCCGCGUGGAGGAUGACACUUUUCGGAGCGUAAACUCCUUUUGUUAGGGAAGAACAAUGACGGUACCUAACGAAUAAGCACCGGCUAACUCCGUGCCAGCAGCCGCGGUAAUACGGAGGGUGCAAGCGUUGCUCGGAAUCACUGGGCGUAAAGGACGCGUAGGCGGAUUAUCAAGUCUCUUGUGAAAUCCUAUGGCUUAACCAUAGAACUGCUUGGGAAACUGAUAAUCUAGAGUGAGGGAGAGGCAGAUGGAAUUGGUGGUGUAGGGGUAAAAUCCGUAGAGAUCACCAGGAAUACCCAUUGCGAAGGCGAUCUGCUGGAACUCAACUGACGCUAAUGCGUGAAAGCGUGGGGAGCAAACAGG
Molecule: ribosomal RNA, 678 nt
Filed under: uncultured Campylobacterota bacterium
Lineage: Bacteria; Pseudomonadati; Campylobacterota
Description: bacterial SSU rRNA
Rfam family: Bacterial small subunit ribosomal RNA
Source: RNAcentral